UACGUAGGGGGCGAGCGUUGUCCGGAAUCAUUGGGCGUAAAGAGCGUGUAGGCGGCUUGGCAAGUCUGACGUGAAAGCCCGCGGCUCAACCGCGGAUUGUCGUUGGAAACUGCCUCGCUAGAGUCCGGAAGAGGAGAGCGGAAUUCCUGGUGUAGCGGUGGAAUGCGUAGAUAUCUGGAGGAACACCGGUGGCGAAGGCGGCAUCCUGGACCGGUAUUGACGCUGAGGCGCGAAAGCUAGGGGAGCAAACGGG
Molecule: ribosomal RNA, 253 nt
Filed under: uncultured bacterium
Lineage: Bacteria
Description: partial 16S ribosomal RNA
Rfam family: Bacterial small subunit ribosomal RNA
Source: RNAcentral